UCAUAAUUGAGGCCGAUGAUUAACGUAGCGCCCGUAUCCGCUCUAUUUCUUGCGAAUGCGAUAUCAACGCCACCACC
This 77-nucleotide transfer RNA is filed under the name Bifidobacterium breve. RNAcentral describes it as "tRNA-Leu". The record is from RNAcentral. Lineage: Bacteria; Bacillati; Actinomycetota; Actinomycetes; Bifidobacteriales; Bifidobacteriaceae.